UGAAGCGGAGCAUGUAAACUUAACCACUACGCUACUGGGUUGGCCCCCUAUAGUUGUUUUUUAAGAAAGAGAAUUUGCUGGCCUCUUUCUUCUGCAGAGCCAUGGGUCUCCCCCAGGUUGCGUACUUUUUUAUGUGAUCAGCUUUUUCCUGGCUGUGGAGUCACUGGAGAGCUCAGGUUUCCUCCCCUACCUCCCCCAGAGCUCCAUCCAAAUCCAUUUCGGAUUUGUUUCUUGAUUCCUCCAUGUGUGGCAUCCUGCCUGGCACACAGCAGGUGCCCAACAAAUGUUUGUUGCACUUACAGUCUUAAAGAUGGCUGACAGAUGGUGUGAUCCAUUUGAAUGCUGGAUGUGGACUCGUGCAGCCCUGGCUUUGGUUCUCAAGUGCAGUGCUUCACUUUACUGAUCCUUAGUUUCUCAUCUGUAAAAUGUCAAAAGUGAAACUCACUUCCUGGGAUAGCUGUGUGAAUUAAAUAAGGUAAGAUGUAGAAGUCAUCUCAAACAACACCCAGCAUAGAGUAGUGCUUUGUGACUAUUAAUUUCAUUUCUUCCCAUAAAAUGUGAGAUUGAUGAAGAUAAUAUGCCUUGGGUAAUCGACUUAUCCAUCCAUCCAUCCAUCCAUCCAUCCAUCUUUCUACAGAUGCAGAGAAAAAUGAGACAAGUUGUGUGUUCUGGAGAAACACCUCUAAUGGAGAAGACAGACAUAAAUAGAUAAUUUACAGUCUUGCAGGCAAGAACUUUGGCAGACACGAGGGAAGAGCUGCAGGUACAGAGGCCAGAGGAGUGACACUGGGGUGGGGGAUCUGGUGUCCAUGUGGCUUCGAGGCUCUCUGGACAGGGGCAGGGAUUCAGGGGUGGGGAGCGACAAGACCAGCUAGCCACUUUCUUCAUCCUGUAGAAUCCUAAGGUCCAGCCUCGUCUGGGGAGAUAACCGAGCAGACCUCAGACGGCAGCUCUCAUGUAUGUGCUCACACUGCCUCUGGAGGAGGGAUGGUUUUAUUUUUCCUGCCAAGACACUCAUCAUUUCUAUCCACUGUUCUACUGCAAAGCACUUACAUGUCAUAGUUUUCCAGUGGAGUCCAGGAGUGCCUUGCAGGCUCUCACUCUUUUUUCUCAGAGGAGGCACCUUUGCUUCUCUUAGGUGACGGGGACCAUUUCCCCUGCCGCUGUCUCCGACACACCCAUACCUAAGAGGUGGAGGUUUUCACGCCCACGUCAGACAGAAGAGGACCCGUGGUCAUUUCUCUUCACAUCUGCAGAGGGUCUUCUGAAGUGGGUCACACCGUUGGGGAAGUGGGGCUGCCAAGCAGUGCCACUGAGUUGUGUUUCCUUCUCUGCUUCAGGCGUUGCUUCUUCUCAGGGACCCAGGGGACAGGAGGGCAAGCAGCAGCAGACACGUUUUCCCUGGGUGUUAAGCCAGCAACAGUUCUUUUGCAAACACAGACCCGUUUUAGAAGCUGAGCGCUCGGUGUUGUGUCUGAACAGAAGUCCAUCAUGAAGUGUUUUGUUGCUUGUACAUUGUGACCUGCCAGGGCAGGGCUCCAGGGUCUGUUCAGGGGGAUGUUAGCGCAGGUCAUGCAGCCCAGCUUGUCUUGGAUGCUGCCUUCGCGAGACCUCCCAGCCCUACCUUGUUCCCUCCAGCACGUGAUCGGGAGCAUCGCCUGGGCCCUCCUCUGCUGGCCCUGGGAACCUCAUCGCCUGUAUUGACGAUUCAUUAUUGUCUCCGAACUAUAUCGUGUGAUAGCUGUUCCGUGGUAAGAUGGCUCUUUUUGUCUCUUCUCCACGAGUUACUUCAAACCCUGCUCCUGGCUGAGACUGGGGGACCGGCCUCUUCACGCAAGCCCUGGGGAGAGGAUGGAAACGCACGGAAGCCUUGCUCACCUUCGCAGGCUGUGAUCUGGGAAGGAAAGGCUCAGGGCAGACAGGGCAGGCGGGCUGAGAGCUCUGGUGGGCUGCUCCCCGGUCCGUUUUGGAAGUUGAAACUGAAACCUCUGGGUAUUUACCCAGCCAGUCACCUGGAUGAGGAAUGGGCCAGGAGGGUCAUGUGACGGGAGUCAGGGCGAACACAAAAGAAUCCAUUUAUUAUCCUGGCAGGAAAUUUGUUCUUUUGGAUUCUGUUGCUGCAGACAUAAUGAUUUCAUUUCCUUUAGGGGAGGGAGAUUAAUGGCCCUUACCCCAGGGCCUGUGUGGAUUGCUGUUUCCUCCAUUUCCCUAAGUGUUGUCAGCUCUGCUGUGCCUUCCUUUCCGUGGGGUCAGAGGGCGUGUGCCGGUUCACACUGAUUAACCGAAUGCGGCCUUCCCUGUGGAAGCUCUAGGGUCCCCGGGUGACCCAGGUUAAAACACACACCUCAUGGAAAAACACCUCCCAGACAGGCUGUGCACGGAAGCCUCCCAGAGCCAGCUUCCCCCAGAGGCAGCGCCAGGCCUGGUUCCCCUCCUGCUUCGGAUGUAGCCACUCAUCCUGUGGCCGGAGAAGUGGGCCAGAGCCUUGAUUGCCCAGGAGCCAGCUGGGACUAGGACGGCAGCAGCACUGCCACCAGCCCAUUAGCUGUGUAUCUUGAGGCAAAGUGCCUAACCUCACCAAGCCUCAGUUUCCUCAUCUGUAAAAUGUGGAGAUUGCACCUGCUUUACCAGGCCUUGGAGAGGAUGAAACGAGAUCUGUGCCAAAGUGCUUUUAAACGGAAGGCCUCCCCGGGAGUGGUGGCCUCUCAUGGCCCUCGGGAGGACAGGUCCUGGUGCAGAGUCAGCCUUGUUCAAAGAACAAGAUAAGGUGGGUGGACUGAGUCUGUGGUCUGCGCUGAGAUGCGGAGGUCAAGAAGAAGGCAGGAAGAGAGACCAGAAGGCCCUUGGCCACGUGCUCCUUUCAUGGGUGUCACCGGUGAUCUCAGGUGGCCUUUUUAACCUGGCUCCAGCGUUUCAUAUUGCGUGGAGCAGACAUCCCAUAUGGGGAGACAGAUUCUGUGUCUGGAUAAGGAUCAGUGUUGUGUUAAAAAAAAAUCAGACUUAGACAGUUUUCCCACUGUGGCCUUGAGAUGGGUGUGUCCUGGUGCCCUGCUCAGAGUCAGGCUGUGGAUGGUGAGGUGCUGUGGCUUCCUCCCCCUGAGCCUUGCUCCUAAUUGGUGCUUGAUGGCUAUUUGCUCCUUAGGUACCUUUAAUUAGCAAAACUUUUGCAUUCCACGGAGAUGCAAAGGUGAUUUAUUUGGAGAAAUUUUUGUAUUUUCCUGUGCCUCGGUUUCCCAGCUGUGUCUGCACUUGACCCCAGCCACACAUUCAUAAUGGAGAAUAAUGAGUUUCUUAUGCUCUGUGUAAAGAGAUGUCAGGUUGAAUGAAAUGAAAUGAAACUGAGUUAAGUUGACAGAGCUGUUGAACACCAGAACGUGUGACCGGGACAUGGAGUGGUCUGUCCCCUCGGGGCCUUGGGAACGGGAUGCGGCUCCUGGCAGAGGUUGGUUUUUGGGGAAGUCUUCUUGGAGGCAGGGGCGUGUCUCGAUGAAGCAUUGCUAAAAAUAAGUUAAAUAUGGAUAACAGAGCAAUUUUAAUAAACAUUUUACUUUUAAUAUGUUUAUAGUGUUGUUAAUUAUCUCUCUAAGUGGAGAAAAUAGAAAUUGUAGCACAUUGAACAAAGAUUGCUGAUUAGGAUAAUAAAAUGGAAAUUUUAAUCAAGACGAUAACUUUAAGUCAAAGGAGGUUUUCUCCUAGGCUGCUGGAGCUUUCAUCUUUAUUAAACACCCCAUUUAUCAUCACCACUCCAUUCAUCGCCGGCAUUAGAUUAAUAUUGACAAUUUAAAAUAGAAAUAACUUUUUCUUGCUGUUAUGGUGUGAUGUGAUAACGGUGCUAGAGGCUUUGAGGGAGCCAUCACGGGCUGUCACGCCAUCUGCCCUGCUGCAGUUGGCUGCCACUCUCCAGGCCACACCUCAAGGCACCGGCCACUCGAGAGGGAGGGCUUCUCCUGCCAGGAAGCCCCUCCGUGACCUGUAGCUCACUAAAUCUUGUGUGUUCUGCAUUGAGAAAGCUAAAGGCCUUUGGUGGCUUGAGGUUGUCUCCUCAGGGUGGAAGUGCGCUCAGAAGUCACAGGCCUCUAUUUUUCAAUCCAGUCCAAGAGAUACUUGUUGACUAUCUGCAAGGUACUAUCGAGAUGCCAAAAUGGGCAAAACUCACCCUGCCCUGCGGAGAUGUGAGUCCCAGAUGAGUGGUGUGGACAGAAGCACCCCAAAGGUGUAGAGCAGUGGUUCUCAGUGUGGUGCCCGGGCCAGCAGCAUCAGCUUGCACUCCAGGGGUUGGGAUCCACUGCCCUUCCCCGGAGGUGCUGAGGCGUUAGCAUCUGAAUCACCUGGAUUCAGCUGGUUGAGUAGCUUUCGGGUGGAAUCCAAUAAAUUGCACUUCAAGCAAUUUUCCAGAUGAUGCUGAUGCUGCGGAUCCGUGAACCACACUUUGAGAACCACUGAUUUAGACUAGACUGCUGAGAACAAGGCGAGGAGGGCUUCAUGGAGAAGGUCCUUUUGGACUCUGUAGGAGGAGUAGAACCUGACCAAGUAGGGAGAAGGAGAAGUCCCCUGGAAGGUGAUGCGGCCAGAGUCAGAAAUGGGAAGUUUGGAGGGCAGCGGGCCCCGGGGAGAUGGUGUUUGGCUUAAGAGCCUUGACCAGGAGGUGGGCCAGCAGGUGGCCCUGGGAGUGGGAAUGGAGAACUCUGUCUCCAUCAGUGGAGAGGGGUGAGUGGCACAGGGAGAGCUGUGGCUUCCCUGUGACAAUGCAGGAUGACCGUGAAGGCAGAGCCAGGAGGUCAGGGGUCAGAAGCCAUUCACGCCAGCUGGACAGCACCCUCCUGAGAUACAGCCCAGGCUGGACCACACCAGGAAGACCUGUGGUUCAGAGCCCAUCACCCCACUCCUAUGAUUUGGGUUCAGUGCUUUUCCCUACAUUGCUCCCUUUGCUGGGUGGGGGGAAGGGAAUGGAAGGGACGUGCCUCCUGGAGCUCUGCUCCACAAGCCCCUAGUGUGAGGAAAAGGACCGCCACCUGCCCCGGGUUAGGUCUGCUGGACCCAGCUGUGGAGGCCGCCCAGCAGCAGCGUGGCCUUGGCCUUCUAGGUGCCUCUCCAAGGAGUCCCUCGGCCAUGUUGGGAGGCUGUUCCUGAUGGGCUGUGCUUUGGGGCACUGGGGAAGGGACAGGUUCCUAGACACCAGCAUGGUGCUGCCGCCUCUUUGGAGCUUCUUCAUUCUUCCACCUUCUCCAAUCCUCUAGGGCUUCUUAAAUAUGCUACAUCAUUUCUUAAAAGGCCUCUUUCUUUGCCUUGAUCAUAAAAUUGCCAAGGAACAAUGGCUGUCAUUUAAAACGGCAGCAUUAAAGCUCAUUCCCACCAGUGACUGCCGUUGUCAUCGCUGUUCCACAUCAAAGCAGCCCGGAGCUCCCGGGAGAGGACAGGGGAGGGCCUGGCCUCAGUACUUCCCAGUGCCGAGGGGACGAGCCAGCCUGCUGGCCAAGACCUUCUCCGAAGAAGAGAGGUGUCCUCCACGUUAGCCCCUGGGGAGACUGCCCAGGUCUAGGGCCUGAGAAAGAUGAGGCUGGGAGGCCUAUGGAGUGGGCACCCCUCAGCCUUCUUGGGGGUCCUCUGGGCAUGCCCUGCCUUCACUGACUGCUCUUGGUCAGGGGUGGGAAACGGGACAGUGUGGGGCAGGAAAAGUCCUGCAUCCUAGGCACGGAGGUGAAGGGACCGUGGGGCCUGGGGCUGACUUAGGAGUCCUGGGUGCCAAGAGCUCACGCUGGCCCCAGAGGGCUUUGGGAAUUGUGCUGAGCAAGGAGGAGCAUCUCGUGGUGCCCACACUGACUGGGAUCCUGGAUUCAUUAUCUAAUGGAGGUGGAGGGUCAUAAUCUACCCACUCCCGCUUCCAUAGGGAGCUCCCAUGGCUGCCCUGUGGGCACGAGAGAGGCCAGACAGUCUCCCCAUGGCGCAGGGUCAAUUGCAGAAGACCCUCUGGCUGUUAGUACAGAGCCGGGAGGGUGUUCGUCCCCUUCCCCUGGGGAUAGCCCUGCAGAAGCAGCUGGAAGGGAAGUUGUGUCACAAUGGGAGGCUGGGCCUUGGCUCCUGUCCUGGAUCAGGAACUGCCUCUCUCCCCAUUCCCGUUGGAUCAUUGCCCUGUUUCCUCCCAGGCUGAAGGUCCGAGUAUGUUUGGGAGGGAAGGUGCCGGUUCUGUGCUCCUCCAGGGUUUGGCUGGGUCCAGAAAAGAGAGAACGGGGGGCUAGGGCCCCCAGGGUUGAGCAGGCCUUGUCUGGAAGGAAGAAUCCAGGCUGUGGGGAGACAGCUGAGCAGGGUGCACAGGUUCCCUUCCUGCUGUAGGCACCGUCUUCCCUUCAACACGCUGCGUGAUGGAUGUACACCUUGAACUCCGUGCGUGUUGUUCGCGUGGCGAGGUUCACGUGGGCUGUCUUAGCUUCUGCGGUCUUGUUCCUUGGGCGUCUGCGAGUUCGUCGUGGGGCCUCCACCAUGCUCAUCGUCCUCAGUGUCCUGACCUGUGGGCACUGUGGCCACUCUUCACUGCCUGACAAGGGAUAGUUUGUUUCGCAUCUGAGCAAACGAUUGGAAACAACCCAAAUGUCCAUCAUUAUGAGACGGGUUGACUAACUAAUGGAACAGCCACACAAUGGAAGAACACUCUACAGCUGCUAAGAAAAAGAAGAGAAGCUCUCAAUGACCUGAGUUGGAAAGACUGCCAAGAUAUAACUCAAACAGGCAAGAUGCAAAACAGUGUUUAGUAUGUUGCCUUUUGAAUAAAAAAGGGAGAAUUAGGCUCUGUAUUCCUAAGUGCUUGUCUUGGGUUGAACCAUAUGAAAUUACCGUUUUAAAAGGUCAUAAUGGUUGAAUAUUGGUAAUUUCACAUGGUUCAACAUAAUGUGUGCAUAUAGGAAGGAUAAGGUAAGAAAUGAAGUUCCCUGAAGAAGGAUGGGCAGAGACUUCUCACUGGGACUGUUAAAAAUAAGGAAUCUCUGAGGUGAUUACUGGGAAAGGAAUGGGGGUCACUCUGAGCUAAGGCAGAACCAAAGGCCACGCCCACAUGAAGGGUGAGCAGAAGCUGCCUGCCCCUGUCCUCACACCCGAGCCCCAGGCUAGACCAGCCCCAGAUAGUGGACAGGAGGCUGGUAGAGUGGACCGGCAGCUGACUCCCUCUUUCUAGGUGUCGUAUGCGGAUCGUAUGGUGAGAAUGAGUUAGAAAUUUAACCUUUUCAGAAUUUUAUGCUUUGAAUGCAAUUCCAUGUGGCAAAGAAAGCAUCACUCAAGGUGUGUUGAUCACUGUAGGCUGGACCAAGUGGGGUUUUUUACUUCUCAGAGCUGAGCUGGAGAGGGCCCAGGACUCAGGAGAGCUGCCCACAAGCAGGGACCACUUCUCUAAUGCCUGCUGCUCAGCCUAAUGGUCAAGCUGCGUGAGGUUCCUAGGAUCCUGGGUCAUCUGGGCAGUGUCUUGAGGGGGUGGCCACUGCUGGGUGGGAGUGAGGGUGGAGUUGAGGAUGGAAGUGAGGCCUGAUCUGUUCACCCCAAAGCACACAUUUAAUUUUUUUCAGGACUCCAGUGCCGACGAGGCUGCCUGGGCAGCUGGCAGGGUAUUCAGCUAGGUCAGCACAGGGCAGCUUUUAUGAGGGUGCUUCACUAGCACGGGGGCUUGAUCUUAACCCUGCAGACUCGGAAGCUUGUUUUCCUCGGCACGUGGAGGACAGAUCCAUCUCUCCACGGCGGAGUCACACAGGCUCCCAGAGACUCCUGUGGACCUGCCCUGUGUGUCCCUUACUCUAGGAGUAGGACUGCCAAGGGGAGCAGAUACGCGGGCCCUCUGGCCAGUACAUCCCGUCCCUCAGGCAACUCCAGAGGAGCAGAAAACCAGUGUCCGAAGGCCUUUUGCAGGCAGGAAUCUGAGCUAUACAGGCCAGCCUGUGGCUGUGGAACACCAGCCCCGAUGUAUCACUGGAGACCUGGGGGCUGAUCCCUUCCACCGAGAAUGUGAAAGGUGUGUGUGUGUGUGUGUGUAUGUAUUGGCGCCCGGGGCAGGGGUGGGGGCCGGGCAGUGCUGGGAGGACCAUGGCUUAAUUGCCUCUAGGAAGUUUCUUUUUAUUCUCUAGGCGUGGCCAGUCCCCUUCGUGGGGCACCUUCCUUCUUUAGCCUUAUGAAUAACUUUAAUUCACUUAGUUGAUUCUAGGUGGGCAGAGAUCUUUAGUUUCCCUCAGAAAACACCCUGUAUUGACAUCUUUCCAAGUUAUUUACAGUAGUCCCCCCUUCUCCGCGAUUUCACUUUCUGUGGUUUCAGUUACCUGCAGUCAACCGUGGUCCGAAAAUCACACUCCAUCACAGUGCCUGCAUCGUUCCCGCCAUCUCUCAUCACACAGGGUUUGUAUCAUCUCACAUCCUCAUGAGAAGAAGAAGGAUGAGUGCAGCACAGUAAGAUAUUCUGAGAGAGAAAGAGAGGGGGAGCCCACAUUCACACAACUUUUAUUACAGGAAAAGUUAUAAUUAUGUAUAGGAAAAAAUAGUAUAUAUAGGGUUUGGUACUAAUCCGGAGUUUCAGGCAUCCACUGGGGGUCUUGGAACUUAUCCCCCACCGGCAAGAGGGGACUACAGUAUUUAUUUGUUUACUCAGGGAAGGGUCUUACUCUCGCUCUCAUGUGCUGCCUGUGUUUUACCCAACACCCCACUGCUCACGUAACAGAAACAGCCCUGGACAGUGGUCAGUGAAGAGAAUGGCGUGACCCCAGUGGGGCUCUGUGAAGUUACUCAGGAAGUGCUGGGCAGAUGAGUGGAGUGAGCUGGAGCUGGGCAGGCCAUGGGGACAGCCGCUGCCGCAGCUCCAGUGAGCAGUCCAGGGGCCUGGGUGGGGAGGAGCAGACAGGUGAGAGGGAGUGAGAGGUGCCAGUGGCCUUGGGAAGGAGGAAGCAACUGGCUUUGGAGGAAUCUGACUCAAUAUCAGAGAUAAGAAGACAAGACAUGACUCUGGCUUCCCUGGUGGUGGGAAGUGUGAUGGGGAGGAGCCUUGGGGAGAAGAGGCUUAUUCAGUUAUUCAGGAUUGGACAUUCAAAAUUGACUUACUGAGCCUACUCUCCAUCUCCCUUUGGCUAGAUUCUCUUCCCCUGGUAGUUAUCUCAAGCUUGGGACUGAGUUCAAGCUUUUGGCCAAAACUUCAUAGAAGCAAAGAUGAUGACUCAUUGACGUGACGGAAUGAAUGAAAUCAUUUAAGAGGGAGUACAGAAGAAGUAGGUGACCAGGGACCACAUCUUGGGGACUGCUCAAUCGAGGAGUGCAGUUCCAUGUCACUUCUCAUUGGGACCUGUGCUGAGUGACGAGAUGGGGUUGACUGGGAGUAGGCUGGUCUCCCAGGGCUUCUGAGGGAAAUGCUGUGAGCAUCGCAUGUUGGAGUCCCCUUCCCAUGGGCUCUGGCACCAACAGUCCCUUCAGCCUGUCGUGGAGGAGGAGCUGGGUGAAUGGGGAAGAGUUGGAACCAGCAGAGGGUGUACCCCGAGGGCAGUACGUAAAGACCUGGUCUCUAAACAGAAAGUUCGGGAAGACUGAGGGAGGGAUCCGCUGCAGCCAGAGGAGAAGACUAGGGUUAGACGAGUCAUUGAUUGAUGAGUUAAGGUUUAAUGAAAAGAUACGAAAUUGUACUUAAGUGCUUAUCUUUCUUUGCCUCUUGUUCUUAAAUUAUGUAUCAGAUUUUUAAAUGUGGACAUGAUUAAUGCUACUUAGGAUCUCCGGCUUGGCUGUUUUAACAAAGAGUUAUAUUUUAACUGAAAAAGCAUAACUGAGAGGAGACUCUUAACGUUUUUCUUCAAUUAAUCACCCCUGAGCAGCUCAGCUGUUUGGACCCUAAGGCCAUAUGCAAAGGCAUCACUGCCCACUGGGUGGUAAUUUACCCUCAUUCCGGGCGGAGUACUAGGAGAAAAUAAACUGCCUCCUGAGGGCUGCAGCUGCAACGUGGGAAGAAGGUUACAAGGAAUCCGGAGGUUCUUAUGUUUUACUAGAAUGGAAAUGGAUGUCGAGAGGAGGAUUGGGGGGAGGUACAGUGCUGAUGCAGGGGCGGGGGGAGUCUUAACCUCCAGAUACAUCUGGGAGAGUCCUUGGAGAAGCUGGUCUUUGGAGGGAGAAGGUAUCUGGAGGGCUUGGGAAGUGAAAUGCGGAGGAUGGGCCUGGCUUGCACAGUUCCGUUCAGUAGAUAGUUAUUGAUACCUACUGUGUGUCAGGUUCCAGAGAUACAAAUAGGAGUAAAACACAUUCUUGUCUCAAGUUGUUGACUAAAUAGUGGAGAAAUUGUCUGGUAAACAGUUGUAUGUGAUAUACCUAUGGUCUAUUCGAUAAUAGACAUUUGUACAAGGCACAAAGUGGGGCCUCUUGAUGGGAAAAUAGUGAAUCCUUAAAGUAAGCCUACUGUCAUACUGUCCCCACAGCCAUCAUGUACCACUGAGCAGCAACUUGGUGCAUUUGAGGCCAUGGGCCUCCAGGCUUUGAUGAGCUCUCACCAGAAGGAUGAGUAGGUGGAUUCAAAUCCUGCCUCUGCUGCUUACAAGUUGCAUAGCCUUGAGCAAGUCACUUAACAUCUCUGUGCCUCAGUUUCCUUGCAGUGGGACUUACCUCAUAGAGUUGUUGAAAGGAUUAAAUGUGUUACACAGUGUUAGCUUUGAUGGUAGAGAAGAAGGAGGAGGAGAAGUCAUCUAGAAAGCUGGACCGGAAGGGAGUUCUUGGAGGAGAAUAAGUUAGACAUGUGAUAGCCCAACCCAGCUUGGCCUGAGUGAGCAGGGAAUUUACUGACUUUCCCAGUGGACUGGGAAGGUCAAACAGUUCUGUGGAUCUGGUGUCUCUCUCCCUUGUUGGCCGCUCCCUCUAGGUUGACACCAUUCUCAAAGACUGUAUGACCUUGCCAAGAAGGGUGCAGGCAGCUCUUAUGACUACAGCCUCCUAGGAGGAAUUCAGUGGGAGAUAAUACAAGAGCCUUUUCUCUCGCACUCCUCGGAAGAGCCCUUGGAUGGACCCUGGGAGGGUUAAGCCUGUGCCUGACCCUGAGCCACUCUCUGAGGUCGGCUGAGUGCCUGGAGGCCAUUGCACUCUCCAUCUAAAACACAUUCUCUACGAUGUCCAUCUCUGGCUUCUUUUAAUGGAGCAAGAACUCCAAGACUCUAAAAGCAAUUUGAGUGCAAAAUCUGCUACAUUUUUAGAGAUAUUUUGUUUCUGAUCUCUCAGCUUUGUCUCACCCUGUCCAAAAAGUGAGCACGAUUUUAGCAACUUGCAUUUGUUGUGUCUUUCCAAAGCCUCCAAUUUACUGUCCUAGAAGCUGCAGCUCUUUCUCUUCACAUUUAUACUUCAUUGGUUUAUUAAUAUUUAAUUAAAUUAAGUAUUUAUAAUAACAAAUACAACUGGCAAACAGGUGUGGGGACAAACACAGCAGACUCCUGGUAAGCAUUCUAUUUGGCUUGUGGGGCACAAGUGCAAGAGUCUCCUUGAGCUGUCACAGGGUCGUGGGCAUUGGGUCCGUGCGUUUGACAGAGCAAAUAGAAAAAGUCGGUGGAGCAGGCAAAUCCAAUAAGGUCGUUAAAGAGAGUUUCCACUUCCCAGGUUUGCUCUCGGAUGACCGGCAUGGAUGGUUAGUUGCAGUGGAUUUUGAGAGAGUGAGCUGGACCCAUAUGGGAUGGGCAAGAGAGAAGGGGAGCUUUGGCAUCCCUGAGGAGAGCCAAUAGUCCAGAGAUAGCUAUGAUGACUUAAGUCCACAUCCAGACCUGAUGGCCAGAGCUGUGGGCAUCCGAUCUGAGCAAGGAAGAUCCCUGGCGUAGAGUUCAUGGGUGCGGGAUGGGGAAUGUUAGGAAAGCAUAGCCCCAGCCUGCCCACUCUAAGUCUAUCCAUAAGGGCAUGGAAAAGGGAAGAGGAUGCCGUCCCCUGGCCCCAGGUCGUAGAGCAAAGCGUGAGCUGGCCUUAGUUCACAAAUGGGAGUGUUCCCCUCAGGUCAUCUGAGGACUAUAUUCAGAAGGGGCUGCCCACCCAGGAAGGCCAGGAGGGCACUCAUCCCUUUGCCCAGCGACCCAGGCAAGCACAACAAAUUUUGAAUCCCACCAGACUCAGAAUCUCAUGCAGAGGUUGGCAUCAUCUAAUGCCGCCCCAGGCUGCCUGACAUCAGCUGCAUGUGCAGGUCAGCCCCGCCUCAGAAGACCCCAACCACAAGCAGAACAGGCCUCAGGAGCCUCAUCAGUAAAAUGCGGACAGAGAUACCUACCUCAUGGACUGUUGGGAGGAUGAAAUGAGAUGACGGUCACCAAGUUCCCAGUACAGAGUAAGGACUCAGGAAGUAUCAGCUCCCUCUUAGCCAUGUCUCCCUGGUUUUUGGCUGUGGAAACAGGGGCUCACAGAAGUCAAGCCGCUUGCCUUGUUUAUGUCGCCCAAGAUUGGCAGAGCAUGGUCCUGAAGCUCCCUCUUUUCCUCCUAGCUCGAGCUUGGUCCAUACACAGGCAGGCUGCUGCCCCUCUGCUAGCUUGGACCCCCGCCUACCCCUGGAUGGGUAGCCCAUGGUCCUUUACCGUGAGUUACUGUGUGGUGAGAAAGGCCUCAGUUUAAUAAUGCAGCAGAGAUUAGGGAAGCCUAGGCCAGAAGGAGGACAUAGAAAUACCUAGUUACUAAAACAAUAUCGGAUAACGACCUUUUAAACGAGCUGCAGCUCAGGGAACUAGUUGAGCCGGGUAAUGACUACAGCUCCGGGCCUAACGAGGAAGCCAUCACUUAUUUAUAACACUGUCGCUUUCUUGCUGUUAUUGUACACCUACCCCAGGGUCUAGGCAGGUGGGUACCUCUCAUGAUCUGAGCAACAUAUGAGUCAGUUUGGCCAAGUCUCUGAGCUGGAGGAUUGGCUGGGACAAGGGAGUGAGGAAUUCAGCUGGUGAGGUCCCCAGUCCCUGGCACUGGGGCAGGGAACAGGGUGCUAAACUCUGGGGUGCUCAGAGUCCUUUGUUCAAAGUGAAUUCAGUGGCCAGGGACAAAUCAAGUGGAUGCAGGGUUGUUGGCUGUCACCUCACUGUAUUCAUUAUUUAUUAUUUAUGAUCAUUAUUAUUAUUGCCUUUAUUUAAUGAGUGCACUGCACUUCACACUUCAGGGCUCCCUAGGUGAUCGCAGCCAAUCUCAGGACUUUAAAUAUCUAGACAGUGACAGCCCCCAAACUUGUUUCCAGCCCGAUCUCUCUCUUUACUGCAAACACAUCGUUCCCCUUUGUCCCUGGAUCUCCCCACUGGGAUGUCCAACAGGCUCCUCACCCAUAGCAUGUCCCAAAGGGGACUGCUCCCCCACCAGUCUUUACAUCACGUGAAUGGUGUUAUGAUCUACCUGGCUGUCAUAGCCACAAGGCGUGAGUCGCCUUGAAUGCCUCCCUUUCCCUCGUGGCCCUCAUCCAGUCCACCCACAGACCCCGCUGGCUCUCCUUCCAGAAUGCCUCCUGGAUCUGUCCACUUUCUCUACCUUCAUCACCUGGCCCUAGCCCCCAUUAUCUUUUGCCUCCUGACCAACAGGCAUCCCUGCUUCCAGAUUCCUUCUCACUCAUUCUAAGUCUAAGAACUUAUUCAUUCAGAACCUCCUGGGGUCUUCUCGUUACACUCAGCAUGAAACCCAGCUUUGUGCCAUGGCCCUCAGGUCCCUAUCUGCUCUGACCUCUGCCCACCUCUGCAAACUCCUACUCCUCCUUGCUACUCUUCAGGCUGUGCUGACCUUUCUGGCCCUUUAACAGAGCACACUUGUUCCUGUCUCAGGAACUUUGCCAUUGCUUUUCCUUCUGCCUGGAAUGGUUUCCCUCAGGGCUUCCCAGGACUGGCUCCUUCUCUUCAGUCAGUUCCACUAAGUGUCAGCUUCACACAGAGGCCUUCCCAGCCCACCUUAGUUAAUAACACCCCCUGCCACUCCUUAUCAUAUCAUCUUGCUCUGUCAUACACAGCACUUGUAAUUAUCUGAAACUAUCUUACUUGUUUACACACACGGGGGUGUAGACUUUCCAGGAGCAGGAACCGUUUGUGAGUUGGUUCUGCUCUGAACAGGGCCUCGCAUGGUGCCUGGGACACAGUAGACUCUUGGUAAAUAUUGAGUGAGUUCAUGAACAAGUGUUUAUCUAAUUUCAACAGUGACCUAGCAAAGUAGGUUUCAUUUGCUCAAUUUUACAGGAAGUCGAAGUUUAAAGAUGUCACAUAUCUUGUCUAAGGUCAUCCAAACUUGUAAGUGGCAGAGAUGAAGUUCAAACCCAGUUGUCUUGCUCCAACACUCUUCUCCGAAAGCCUUUCCUAGACAAACCUACUAGGGUGCUGCUCCCAAAAGAGAGAGUUUGAAGAUCCCCUAAGAAAGUGUCCCUUAGCUAGUUCAUGGUCCCUCCUCGAGUGGGGUUACUGUGUCUGGACCAUGAGGUCUUUGCAAUUGCCAUCAUCAUCAUCCCAGCAGCUGCAGGUGAGGGAGCAAGUGUGACUGUGUGUGUGAGGGGCCGGUAGGUGGGUGGAAUGAGUCGUGGCUGCGCUAAAGCUCUGAGUUAUCCUCGCAAGGACUUCAUCCGCGUGGCCCUGUGAUGGCCAGCAGCCAGCCUGCUUGCAGAGUUAAUACAGUUAAUUGCACGAAGCAACAAGGGCAAUGAAUGAGAAAAGUCCAGAGGAACUAGAAUGGAGCCAUGUGGGUAGCUAUUUGAUAGCAAGAAUUGGAUGCUGCGUUUCCAUGUGGUGACACAGGGGCUGCCAAAUUGCCUGUCCAUCCACCUCUGACACCUGCGUCUGCUUUUGUCCCCCAUGUGGAGAGGAGCCUUUGUGCUGUAAAAUCCUCAAAUUUCCCGUCCUAUCUCACCCUUCCACUUUUCCUCAAGUGCAUUCUAUUUGUUCUGAGUCUCACCUGACACCUGAGAAUAAAGGACAAGCUUUACAACAAAUUGACAAAGGAUGGCCGGAUUCAGGGCAGCCACUUUGCCUCCCUAGGAGGGAACCAGCCCCCACCCACUCAGGGGGCUCUGGGACACCUCACACAGUAGCCCUGGCAUGUUUUACCUGGGCCCUUGUAAGCACACGUGAAAGAUAAUUCCCAUUCGAGGGAGAGGUGUUUUGCUCACAGUGUCUUAGUUCUCUCUCCCAUUGCCUCUUCUCUUCCUUUGUAAUUUGGAUCCAGCACAAUUAAUCAGACUGUAAAAGAGUCCAGGAACAUUGAGCAGAAUUUGCCAUUUUCAUGCAAAGCUGAAAGACACGGCUAUUUCACGUGUAAUGAUUAGACGUUUUUAUGGCCAGCCUAUCACAUUACACAGCACAGAUUUCCAAUAAAUAAAGCAAAGCUGGAAUGGGGGCUGCCAGUUGUAUAACAAUCCAACCAACAAUCGUGGACAGAAUAGUGCUUUUUUGACAUCUAAUUUACUCAAUUACAUGAGUGAUCAUGUCACUCCCUGCUUAAGCUCCUUCAAUGUCUUUCCAUAAAUGAGAAUGAUGGGUGGACACUUGAGUGCUCCCCUCACCACGGCACUUAUCACAGAUGCUGUAAGAGAAUGUUCCCCUGUGCCUGCCCCACCUGGCUGGGUUUCCCGUGAGGCAGGAACUGCACUAUUUUUCUUGGUAUCCCUUGUCUAGCACAGGGCCUGGCAUCCCAAGAGAGCCCAGCAGAGGUUGCUGAGUGGAUGAAUGACUGAAUGAUCAACUUGAGAUACAUUCAGCCUUCCUUAUCCGCAUGUUCCUUGUCUGUGGGUUCUGCAUCCAUGGAUUCAACCAACCAGGAGUUGAAAGGCCUCUGGUUGUUGCAUCUGUACUGAACAUGUACAGAUCUUUUUCCUUGUCAUCCCAGUUGGCCCUCCAUAUCGAUGGGUCCCACAUCCACAGAUUCAAGCAACUGUGGAGUGAAAUGCCUACCAUGGUUGUGUCUGUACUGAAAAUGUACAGACUUUUUCCUGUCAUUAUUCCCUAAACAAUACAGUAUA
Equus caballus (horse) is the source of this 15919-nucleotide non-coding RNA. NCBI's taxonomy places the organism in Eukaryota, Metazoa, Chordata, Mammalia, Perissodactyla, Equidae. The record is from RefSeq and is a predicted model, not a curated record.